Molecule: long non-coding RNA, 347 nt
Filed under: Monodelphis domestica (gray short-tailed opossum)
Lineage: Eukaryota; Metazoa; Chordata; Mammalia; Didelphimorphia; Didelphidae
Description: lncRNA (ENSMODG00000037572.1)
Source: RNAcentral
CCAGAUCUUCCCCAGCUGCCAGCAGAAGCUGAAGGUAAAGGUGAAGGUGUGGAGGCUGAAGGUAGUUACCCUCAUCCUCCUCUCUACUCCUUUUUGCCAGUCACCUCCCUGCCAGUUGCCAGAGCUGGAUGUGUCCUGAGGCGAAAAUCUCCAGAGGCAGAACCCCACAAUGGAGAAGUACUGGCUGAAGCCUUUGACCAAUCUGUCCUCCUCUCUGCCUCUCUCCUCUAUCUGCCUCCCUGCCAGCUGUGAAUGUAAUGCUUCCUAAUAUGAAGAAUAUAAGGAAACCUGGGAAGACUUAGAUAUAUUGAUGCAGAGUAAAGUAAGCAAAAGAAGAAAGCACAACA